This 406-nucleotide ribosomal RNA is filed under the name uncultured bacterium. Its description in RNAcentral is "partial 16S ribosomal RNA". It matches the Rfam family "Bacterial small subunit ribosomal RNA", at positions 30 to 526 of the family's 1533-position model. The record is from RNAcentral.
AUUGAACGCUGGCGGCAUCCUUUACACAUGCAAGUCGGACGAGUGGCGAACGGGUGAGUAACGCAUCGGAACGUACCGAGUACUGGGGGAUAACUGUCCGAAAGGACAGCUAAUACCGCAUAUUAUUCGAGCGGCCGAUGUCUGAUUAGCUGGUUGGCGGGGUAAAGGCCCACCAAGGCGACGAUCAGUAGCGGGUCUGAGAUGCUGGUCAGCCACCGUGGGACUGAGACACGGCCGAGACUCCUACGGGUGGCAGCAGUGGGGAAUUUUGGACAAUGGGCGCAAGCCUGAUCCAGCCAUGCCGCGUGUCUGAAUAAGGCCUUCGGUUUGUAAAGGACUUUUGUCAGGGAAGCGGUGCCUGAAGAUUGAGCGCCGGCUAACCACGUGCCAGCAGCCGCGGUAAUAC